This is a small nuclear RNA of Suncus etruscus (white-toothed pygmy shrew), 104 nucleotides long. The record is from RefSeq and is a predicted model, not a curated record. Lineage: Eukaryota; Metazoa; Chordata; Mammalia; Eulipotyphla; Soricidae.
AUGAUCACUUCGGCAGCACAUAUACUAAAAUUAGAACGAUACAGAGAUUAGCAUUGCCCCUGCGCAAGGAUGACACGCAAAAUUACUCUCUUCCCAAAACUCCU